Molecule: ribosomal RNA, 286 nt
Filed under: Catenaria anguillulae
Lineage: Eukaryota; Fungi; Blastocladiomycota; Blastocladiomycetes; Blastocladiales; Catenariaceae
Description: partial large subunit ribosomal RNA
Rfam family: Eukaryotic large subunit ribosomal RNA
Source: RNAcentral
UAACUGGGUACAUGUCCACCAUGGGCAUGUCCGUGAAUGUAAAGUCCACUGGAAUGUGGCAGCGCUUCGGCGUUCUUUGGGUCAGAGAGGGUGAAAACCCCGUUUACAUUCAUUGUGGGGCGUGUCUGUUGUGUGGGCGUGUUGAAGAGUCGGAUUGUUUGGGAAUGCAAUCCAAAACGGGUGGUAAAUUCCUUCCAAGACUAAAUAUUAGCAAGAGACCGAUAGCGAACAAGUACCGUGAGGGAAAGAUGANAGCACUCUGGAUAAGAGUUAGUAAAACGUGAGA